AGAGUUUGAUCCUGGCUCAGGACGAACGCUGGCGGCGUGCCUAAUACAUGCAAGUCGAACGAGAAUUUCUUACACCGAGUGCUUGCACUCACCGUGAGAAAUUCGAGUGGCGGACGGGUGAGUAACACGUGGGUAACCUGCCCAAAAGAAGGGGAUAACAUUUGGAAACAAAUGCUAAUACCGUAUAACCAUGAUGACCGCAUGGUCAUUAUGUAAAAGGUGGUUCUGCUAUCGCUUUUGGAUGGACCCGCGGCGUAUUAACUAGUUGGUAGGGUAACGGCCUACCAAGGUGAUGAUACGUAGCCGAGUUGAGAGACUGAUCGGCCACAAUGGGACUGAGACACGGCCCAUACUCCUACGGGAGGCAGCAGUAGGGAAUCUUCCACAAUGGGCGCAAGCCUGAUGGAGCAACGCCGCGUGAAUGAAGAAGGUCUUCGGAUCGUAAAAUUCUGUUGUUAGAGAAGAAUAUGAGUAAUAGUAACUGAUUAUUCACUGACGGUAUCUAACCAGCAAGUCACGGCUAACUACGUGCCAGCAGCCGCGGUAAUACGUAGGUGGCAAGCGUUGUCCGG
RNAcentral lists this ribosomal RNA (572 nucleotides) under uncultured bacterium. RNAcentral describes it as "bacterial SSU rRNA". It matches the Rfam family "Bacterial small subunit ribosomal RNA", at positions 8 to 548 of the family's 1533-position model. The record is from RNAcentral.